CCUACGGGAGGCUGCAGUGGGGAAUUUUGCGCAAUGCUCGUAAGAGUGACGCAGCGACGCCGCGUGAAUGACGAAGGCCUUCGGGUCGUAAAGUUCUUUCGACAGGGAAGAAAAUGCCUAUAAGUAACUGUGUAUGUAUUGACGGUACCUGUAUAAGCAGCCCCGGCUAACUCCGUGCCAGCAGCCGCGGUAAUACGGAGGGGGCGAGCGUUGUUCGGAGUGACUGGGCGUAAAGAGCACGUAGGCGGUGUUGUAAGUCAUUGAUCAAAGACUAGAGAUCAACUUUAGUAAGGCUAGUGAUACUAUAAUACGAGAGUAUCAGAGAGGAUUGCAGAAUUCCUGGUGUAGCGGUGAAAUGCGUAGAUAUCAGGAGGAAUACCGUUAGCGAAGGCGGCAAUCUGGCUGGAAACUGACGCUGAGGUGCGAAAGCGUGGGUAGCAAACAGGAUUAGAUACCCUUGUAGUC
Molecule: ribosomal RNA, 465 nt
Filed under: uncultured bacterium
Lineage: Bacteria
Description: partial 16S ribosomal RNA
Rfam family: Bacterial small subunit ribosomal RNA
Source: RNAcentral